RNAcentral lists this ribosomal RNA (253 nucleotides) under uncultured bacterium. RNAcentral's name for it is "partial 16S ribosomal RNA". It matches the Rfam family "Bacterial small subunit ribosomal RNA", at positions 524 to 776 of the family's 1533-position model. The record is from RNAcentral.
UACGUAGGGGGCAAGCGUUGUUCGGAAUUACUGGGCGUAAAGGGUUCGUAGGUGGCCACUUAAGUCAGACGUGAAAUCCCUCAGCUUAACUGGGGAACUGCGUCUGAUACUGAGUGGCUUGAGUGCAGGAGAGGAAUGCGGAAUUCCAGGUGUAGCGGUGAAAUGCGUAGAUAUCUGGAGGAACACCGGUGGCGAAGGCGGGUCUCUGGGCAGUAACUGACACUGAGGAGCGAAAGCCAGGGGAGCAAGCGGG